GUAGAGUAAAUAUUGUGCGUUAAGUGUUAUGGAAUGGGAUGUUGUCCAUAAACGAAGGUAAUCCGCGGUACAAUAUUGCAUCCACUA
Molecule: non-coding RNA, 87 nt
Filed under: human gut metagenome
Also listed under: 2 other names
Description: THF riboswitch
Rfam family: THF (Tetrahydrofolate) riboswitch aptamer
About the family: THF riboswitch presents a pseudoknot that joins P1-P2 and the loop of P3 and two THF binding.
Source: RNAcentral